CCUANGGGUGGCUUCAGUCGAGAGGCUUCGGCAAUGGGGGAAACCCUGACCGAGCGACGCCGCGUGGGGGAUGAAGGCCCUUGGGUUGUAAACCCCUUUUCUUCGGGAAGAAAUGCGAUCAGGUGAAUAAUCUGGUCGUUUGACGGUACCGGAUGAAUAAGCUCCGGCUAACUCCGUGCCAGCAGCCGCGGUAACACGGGGGGAGCAAGCGUUGUUCGGAAUCACUGGGCGUAAAGGGCGUGUAGGCGGUCAGGUAAGUGAGACGUGAAAUGCCUCGGCUCACCCGAGGAGCGGCGUCUCAUACUGCUUGGCUUGAGUACGGGAGAGGAUGUGGGAAUUCCUGGUGUAGCGGUGAAAUGCGUAGAUAUCAGGAGGAACACCGGUGGCGAAGGCGCACAUCUGGCCCGAUACUGACGCUGAGGCGCGAAAGCUAGGGGAGCAAACGGGAUUAGAUACCCUGNUANUC
RNAcentral lists this ribosomal RNA (466 nucleotides) under uncultured bacterium. Its description in RNAcentral is "bacterial SSU rRNA". It matches the Rfam family "Bacterial small subunit ribosomal RNA", at positions 338 to 795 of the family's 1533-position model. The record is from RNAcentral.